UCCAGGGUAGCCUAGUGGACAUGGAAUCUGCCCGGUAAGCGGAACAUUGUGGGUUCCAUUUCCAUCCCUGGAC
Non-coding RNA from Cordylochernes scorpioides, 73 nucleotides. The record is from the annotation of a GenBank genome assembly. Lineage: Eukaryota; Metazoa; Arthropoda; Arachnida; Pseudoscorpiones; Chernetidae.